Acinonyx jubatus (cheetah) is the source of this 4199-nucleotide long non-coding RNA. RefSeq lists it as uncharacterized. The record is from RefSeq and is a predicted model, not a curated record. The transcript is spliced from 4 exons. NCBI's taxonomy places the organism in Eukaryota, Metazoa, Chordata, Mammalia, Carnivora, Felidae.
UCUGCAUUAGGCUCCACAUUCAUGUCGGAGCCCCAAAGCUGUUUCCAAUUGGCAAAGUCAUGGCCAGGGUGUGUUGUUCAUUAGUAUAUUUGUGGGAGGCUAUCCAGGCCCCAACCCAGUCACCGGCCGUGGGAAAUUCUUCCCAGAUCGGAGGACCCUCCAGGCCUGACAGAAAUGAGGAGCUACCUGUGCCUCUCCCUGGGUUCCUGCUCGGAGCUCCUUCCCUACUCGCGAGGAACACAGACAGUGGUCGUUUGGGUUCUGAUUUUGUUGAGUAACCUCUCGACGACUUGCUGCGCAGUUCCUGGCUCUUCCAUCCCACCCUCCUCCCUCUCUCAGCUGUUUUAUAAGCUGAAUUCUAAUCUGGGUUUCUUCACAAUGUCGCCUUUGACUACAAGCUAAUAAAACCCCAAACGGGAAAUUCAGGAGUAAUGGAGAUGCCACGUGACUGUAACCUAAGGUUGUUGGUCAACUUGAUUUGGUUUUCAAGCCUGUACCCCAUCUGGGGGCUUCAGCCCCCACCCACCUUUGUGGCAAUAAAGAGGGUCUUUGUCUUUUGUCACACUGCACGUGGGCCCUGAACCUUUCUGAGGAGUCCCACAGACAGCUCACAACACUCCAGGACCCCUGCACGCCCCUCUCCGUGUCUGCUACCUCGCCCGGGGCUCAGGAAAGCAGCUGCCUCACCUCCCAGGCCACAGACAGGCCUUACCUGCCACCUAACCUGACCAGAGUCACCACGGUGUCCACCCUGCACAACCAGGAGGCUGGUGGAACCCUCACACGGGGGUGGCACUUUUGUUAUGAGUAUGCAAAUCCUCACCAUAAACAUCAGAGAAGUCAAGGAGAAGAACAAGGUGUUUUGCUGCAGCCUGAAAUUCAAGGUUGCGGUUGAGCCACACUGAUGAAGAAAAGGAGGCACAGAGAGGCCAGGUGACUUACCCAAGGCCACACAGGUAGUGGGCAGCAGAGGUGGGAAUCAAGACCAGACUCCACACCCUAACCACUAGGCAAUACUGGUCUCCCACAAUACAAAACAACUGCUUGUGUCCUAAUCACAAAUGUAGAAAUCAAACGAUGCACCCAAACCCAACAAUAAGCCUGUAACCAACCAUCAUGAGACACUUCCACAAAGUGACACAUCAUACAUUAUUAAACUGGCCACUGAGCUAUGAAGACACCCCAAGCCGGGCCCACCAAGAGCACAGGUCUAAGAAUCUAUCCAACAGAAAAGCCACCUUGCCGUAAAGAUACGUGUACAAGUGUGCUCAGUGGGGCAUGUUGCAAUAGGGCGAAAAGCAUCAACAACCUACAGGUUCAUCGCUAGGUGAAGGCUCAGGCACAUCAAUGUCCGUCUUGGGAAUACUAUGCAACCACGAAAAAGGCUGAGUCAGUGUGUGUCUGUGAACACUGACAGCUCGGGUGCCAACUCACUUAGUGUCCACAACAACCCUGUUAGGUCUGUACGAAGAAUCUCAUUUUACAGAUGAGGGAACGCAGGCUUCGAAGAGGGUAGGUAACGUGCCCAAAGUUACAAAGUUUGCAGCUAGUUUGUAGGUGGUUCGAGAAUGCGGGAAGUCUGGCUCCAGAGCCCACAGUCCCAGCCGUUCGGCAAACACGAUUCCACAGACACUCUGAAGAAGGACUGACUGCAGGAGCUGUCUAUACCUGUUACCUCUGGGACGGGACUGGGAAGGGGGAGGGCGGUCGGGUUGGAGGAGGCCGUGGGUGUGUUCCUUCUGUCCGGUUUAAAUCUUUUACAACAGGAACCAUUCAUGUGCUACUUUCAGAUAAAGCAGCAUUGUGGAGCGAUUAAACUUGAACUAGGGUACCUGCACACCAAAGGCCCUGGCAACGGAGACUCCGCUGCCUGCAGUAGCUCCCUGCUGCCACCUCCCAAGGACCCGAGGAGGAUUCAGUGCCACACCUCAUGCCAGGGGUUUCCUCCUGGUUCUGUAACAACCCAUGCCCAAGGUGUCUACUGUGAUGUGGCACACAGGUAGAGGCUAGUUGUGUAGAUCACACAAGCUCUGGGUUCCAGGGCACCUGGCAGCCCACCUCCAACACCCCACUCCUCAAGUUUGGUCUUAAAGCACCACAUGGUCCCAGUCCCCCUCCUAGAGCUUCUGACCCUCCCAUCUACUGCCCUGUCAUCCGAACCCAAUUCACUUGCUAAGGCCCAAAUCAGAGCUAAUUCUCCUGCCAGCCUCAGUUUCUCCUAUUCCCUGCACACAUCAUUUCCGAGUAAUGCCUCCUUUGCUGGUGGAAGGUACCAUGUUCACGGGCCAUUCUUAGUUUAUCCACCCUCUUCUCCUUUCUUCACUUGAUAGUCUGUCUCACUGAACUCCUGAGGGCCACCUGCACCCUUUCACACAAACCCCCCACUACCACACAAGGGCAGGAGUUGCUAGAAACACCACCUUGAUCACAGGUCUGCUCUACAAUAACUCUAACACCCAAGGGCUAUUAUUUCAUAUGGGCCCUAACCAGAUGAGGGUUGUUUUUUGUUUUUGUUUUUACUUUUUAUUUUGAAAUAGUUUCAAACCUACUGAAAAGUUACAUGAGUGCAAUGGACGCCACCUACUAAAGACCCCAAAUGUGUAUAUUUAGUCUGUCCUCUCUCCAUAGUUUUUUUCUCCGAAACAUUUGAGACUACGUUGCACACAAGAUACCCCUCUAAACACUUCAGUGUACAUUGCCUAAAAAAGACAUUCUCUUGCAUUACCAGUUUAUUUGCCUAAUCAGGAAGUUAGCAUUGAUACAAUACUAUCAUCUAAUCUACAGACUUUAUUCAACUGUUGCCAACUGUCCCAGUGAUGUCUUUCAGACACACACACACACACACACACACACACACACACACACACACAGAGACAGAGAGAGAGAGAGAGAGAGAGAGAGAGAGAGAGAGGAAACAAAGAACAAACCCAUGGUCCAGGAUUCAGUCCAGGCUAAACACUGCUUAGAACGAAACUUCCCAAUUUCUAGACCUGUCCAUCCAGACUGGACAAGUCACUGUCCUCUCUGGGCUCCACCCUCCAUAAACUAUGAGGAUAAAAGGGCAGAGAAGCCAAGGGCAUUGCAAUCCUUGUAUAUUGAAAGUGAUCAGUCAGUGGGGCCACAAUGACUAUGAUAACCUUCAGCUUCCCCCAGGCUUUGGGUCAUUACUAGGUCAUUACUUUACUAGAUCAUUAUAUGCAUGUCUCACAUGUACCAUCUCAUCUAAACCCAACUGUUUCUACGAUCAUCCCCAUUUUGCAGAUGAAAAAAUUGAGCUCGUGGUGGUUGAGUAACUUGCUGAAGACCUUUCCAAUGCUUACAGAAUUAGAAACAAGGAUGGAAGAAAACAUGCCUUGUCAUUUGCAGUCUGACCAACCUUCGCUAGAUUGAAAUAGCCUGCUAGGUGAGAGGGAGGCAGAUCUCUAAAGACAGACCACCGAAGCUGCAGCGGCCACCAGACACAGGGUGGUUGCACAGCUGCAUAGCAAAAGAACGCUCUGGUCAAAAGCAGCACACAGUCCCUGAGGCAGAGGAGAAGUGGAUUCUGGGACCACAGUGAAAACAGAACUACACCAAGUUCCAUGCUGCAAAACAAUCUCUCCUUGUGGCCUGGAGUUGAAUUUUUGUCCCCUCCCUAUGCAUAGCUCUGCCCUAUGCAGCUGAAUAUGAAGUCCCUCUGUAGGAAAUUCGCCACAUCCAGUGAAAGAAUCAACCUUUGAUGCACUCACUAGAAGAGUACCAGGCACACACUUCUGCAUCAAGUGCUGGCUAAGCCUAUGAGGGUGCUAUCCCAUUUGACAGCCAGUUCCACGGCCCGCCCUGGUCUGAGCCGGCACAGGACAGAUAUCUGUAAGUCCUUACAUAGUGCUGGCGCCUUACAAGAGAAGCUGUUGGGGCCAGAUGUUUUGAAACAGGCAUCAUGUUAAGUGGACCCAUAUCCUUCCAUUAGCUAUGGGGCAAAUCAACUCCUUCCCCAGGAGGAAAGGCCAUGCAUUUGUCCCAGUGGAUUUGUGACCACCUUCCCAGGUUAUGUGACAUGUGGGAAAGUUCUUCUCUUCCUGUCCUCAGCACAGAUGCUGCUGUGCCUCUGGCUGCCGGCAGUUUGUAAAUGUAACAUUUCCCAGCUAAAUCCUGACACUCUGAAAGACUUCUUACGAUUUCUAUUUUUUUAAUGGCAUGGCCCCAAUAAAGGUGUGUGU